GAUGAACGCUGGCGGCGUGCCUAAUACAUGCAAGUCGAGCGAACAGACAAGGAGCUUGCUCCCUUGACGUUAGCGGCGGACGGGUGAGUAACACGUGGGUAACCUACCUAUAAGACUGGAAUAACUCCGGGAAACCGGGGCCAAUGCCGGAUAACAUUUAGAACCGCAUGGUUCUAAAGUGAAAGAUGGCUUUGCUAUCACUUAUAGAUGGACCCGCGCCGUAUUAGCUAGUUGGUAAGGUAACGGCUUACCAAGGCAACGAUACGUAGCCGACCUGAGAGGGUGAUCGGCCACACUGGAACUGAGACACGGUCCAGACUCCUACGGGAGGCAGCAGUAGGGAAUCUUCGGCAAUGGGCGAAAGCCUGACGGAGCAACGCCGCGUGGGUGAUGAAGGUCUUCGGAUCGUAAAGCUCUUUUAUUAGGGAAGAACAAAUGUAUAAGUAACUCUGCACGUCUUGACGGUACCCAAUCAGAAAGCCACGGCUAACUUCGUG
RNAcentral lists this ribosomal RNA (497 nucleotides) under uncultured bacterium. Its description in RNAcentral is "partial 16S ribosomal RNA". It matches the Rfam family "Bacterial small subunit ribosomal RNA", at positions 28 to 507 of the family's 1533-position model. The record is from RNAcentral.